AUCGGUAUGAAGCAUCUUUGACUUUUGUUAUUGAGAGGACAUUCAAAGUUUUAAUUUUUUUUUUGUGAGUUCCCAGUGUACAAUAUAUAUGUUCAGAAAAGAAUGGUAACAACAAUAAAAUCACAUAAUUUUAUUAGAAUGGUACCUCUAGUUUUACCUUUUUUGUUUUAGAUCUUUAAUUUACAUUCUUUGUAUUUUGACAUUCAGUUAAAUAUGAUAAUCUGAUAUAUUAAUUUACCUAAUGUAUGAUAUGUAUGUUGAGAAAAAAUGGUACCAGCAACAAUAAAAUCACAUAAUUUAAUCAGAAUGGUACCUCAAGUUUUAUCUUCUUCUUUUUUUUUUUGUUUUAGAUCUUUAAUUUACAUUCUUUAUAUUUUGACAUUCAGUUAAAUAUGAUAAUUUGAUAUAUUAAUUUGAUUAGAUGAAUUUGUACUUGAUCUGUAUUUGUUCGGGAUGAUAUGUAUUACUAUUUGUUUGAUAUGCAUCAAUUUACGAACCUCUUUAUCUAAGUUACAGAUACAUCAUAUAUCACUAAAGAAACAAUUACAUCCAGAGUCAGUUUUCAUCUUUUAAUAUCAUAAUAGGACACAUUAUGCUACUCAGACACUUUGUCCAAGCUUUCAACACAAAGGGAAACAUGAACUUCCAAUUUUACCCUUCUUCCUCUCAGCAAUUAAGAAAAAAAAACAUAUGUUUUCUCUACGUUACUCAGAAAGAAAACCACACCUCUUCUACUCAUCGGCCGCCAACCACUACUCCCACUUCUCCUCUUCCGUCUUCUGUUCCUCCUCCUCCUCCUCAGCCGUAUUCUCCAGCACCUAUUACUCCUCCUGAAUCCCUUACUCGAAACUCUCCAACUUCAAUCUCAGAACCACCGUCGAAUCCGUUGAGAAGCAGCGGAGGAAGAUCUCCUCGGACUCCAUCUUCGUCGUCUCCUUCUUCAGAUGGGUUAUCAACAGGGGUUGUGUUUUGUAAAGCCAUCUGAGGAGUCAUUUUCUUGUGAUAGUGACUCUGGUUUGUCUUCCUUGUAAGAAGAAUCGAAGAAGAUGCUUACUAUGCUCCUCCCCACCUCUUCCGAAUUCCAAAGUAUUUCUCUAGCAGAUGUUGGGAUUAUGAUGUACGACCUUAUCACAGUAGUUUGAGUAGUAUGUUUAUGUUACAACAGCUACAUCAAUUCCUCUGAAUUAUCUCUUAAGCUUAAUAGCGUUUAAUGAAGAAAGCAACAUAUACAUGGUAAUAAAGAAGAGUGCAAUAUAAGCCUCCAUCUUCACCAUCACACAAGCCUCCACCUCCACCACCGCUUUUCAUGAGCAGCAGCGGAACUACUAUGAUCGUCCAGUUGACCAAAAAGAAAGAAAGUAGAAACCUGCAACAAAAAUGUAUUGUAUGUAUAUACACCAAAAAAAAUAUAGUUUUGUACAUGUGUACACCAACAAAAACAAUUGUACAUAAUAAUGAUUGUACACAUGUACAAACAUAUACCUUGAGAAUAUGAAUGGAUAUUUCUGGUCGCUAAGAUAGUAGUGUAAACUUCAAAGUGAUAUAAAUGGCAUAGGAGUUUUUUGUUUGUAA
Brassica napus (rape) is the source of this 1572-nucleotide long non-coding RNA. RefSeq lists it as uncharacterized. The transcript has 2 exons. The record is from RefSeq and is a predicted model, not a curated record. Lineage: Eukaryota; Viridiplantae; Streptophyta; Magnoliopsida; Brassicales; Brassicaceae.